Molecule: unclassified non-coding RNA, 1753 nt
Filed under: Hevea brasiliensis (rubber tree)
Lineage: Eukaryota; Viridiplantae; Streptophyta; Magnoliopsida; Malpighiales; Euphorbiaceae
Source: RNAcentral
CAAGAAUCUAAAGGUUUAUGGUGGCAACGUCGUCGUUUUUCUUCGUGAGUAUUGCAUGCUUUUAUUGACUGUUCCCACAGCCCCGUAUCUACCCAUAUCCACUUCCUCUGUUUUGUCCAUUUCUCACAGACCUGUUACCCCUUGAUAUCCUAUUUUAAAAAAAUUUCAAAAACAAAAAAAAUCCAUAAAAUUUGGCCUCUACUAUAAGCCCCCGAGCACUUCAGUACAACCUCCUUACCCAUCUCCAUUUCUUAUCCUCGCUUUCUACCUUCUCUGGCCAAAAGCCAUGUUUGAAGAAUCCGUAUCUUCCAUACCCUCCUCUGUCUGGGCAUCCAUGAAUAGUUGGUUCACCCCAUCUGUUCUCUUUCUCUUCCUCAAUCUCAUGAUAGGCACCAUUGCCAUCACCUCAAGGUUAGCCACCCUGAAACCCACCCAACACCAAGAGGACAAACAACCACAACACGACGGGCAUCAACUUGUUAGAUCUCCAUCCGUGCUUCAAAGGUUCAAAUCUAUCAACUUCUACAGUUAUAGAUCUUCUGAACCCACUACCGUAACCUAUGAAAAAACUCAGCAAUUUGACUCCCAUUUCACUCUCCAACAAUCUCCUCACGAUGAGUACCACCAAAAUCAACCUUUUAUCUGUAGAUCUCCUUCUAUUCUUCAACGUCUAAAGUCUGUCAACCUCUAUAAUUACUUCUCUCAGGAACCCAGUACCAAUAAUUUGCCCAGAACUCAAGAAACGCACACUCAUUUCACUCCACAGCCAGUUUAUCAACUGGAACAAGAACAGCUCCAAGAACAAGAAGAAGGAGUGGAAACAGAACAAGAAGAGGAAGAUACUGAGGAAAUCCAAGAUCAAGAACAGACCCUUGACGAGAUAUACAGCAAGCUACAGAGCAAUAAUAAAGUGAACAGGUCCAAAUCGGACACAAAGCCAACCUCUGGCGAGGUUCCCACAAAGCUUCCAAAGAAAAUGAAAAAAUCUGCUAGCGCUAAGUCUGCUUUUGCUCAUUUCAAAGAAGAAGACAAUGUGGAAUCUCGUCGGCCGGCGACUGUGAGAGAAAGCAAGACUAAAGCGACAGAGGAGGAUGAUGCGGAAGUGGAUGCCAAGGCUGAUGAUUUCAUCAACAGAUUUAAGCAGCAAUUGAAGUUGCAGAGGAUUGAUUCCAUUAUGAGGUACAAGGAGAUGACCAGUAGAACAAGUGGAAAUUAACUAAUCAAAGGUGGGUUUUAGAUUUCUGGGUUGGAUUUUAUUUUUGUUAAUUUGUUUGAAAUUUUAGGUUUCAUUGAAUGUGGAUCCACUUAAAACAAUUUCACUGCUUUGUUGCCUGUGCUGGGCUUGCUCUGCUCAGCUCUGCUAUUGCUAAUACUCAUUAAAAUCACUAAAAAUUCAUCUUAUUAGUUACUAAUCUCUUUUAACUUUAGAGGCUUCUGUAGCAUUAAUAAGAUAAUGAAAAGGGAAGAAAAGAAAACAGAAGAGGUGACUCUGACAAUUAAAGUAUAUAAGGACAAUUUAGUCCUUCUAAUUUUAUAAUAUAAUUUUAUGAAAUAUACAUUGAAUGAGGGUAAAUUGGGGAAAACGUAGAUGGGUAGAUGAGAUGAAAGGUGGGUGCUUGGCUGUGUUUGGUUGGAAGGCACGUGGGAGAUUUUAUUGCUUUAACUAACACAUUCUGGACUGUCUUCCGUAUAAGAUGUAACUCUAAUUACAGUUUUUUUUUUUUUUUUUGCACCUGAGAGCAACUUACCCUUU